Molecule: ribosomal RNA, 490 nt
Filed under: uncultured bacterium
Lineage: Bacteria
Description: partial 16S ribosomal RNA
Rfam family: Bacterial small subunit ribosomal RNA
Source: RNAcentral
AUUGAACGCUGGCGGCAGGCCUAACACAUGCAAGUCGAACGGUAACAGGAAGCAGCUUGCUGCUUUGCUGACGAGUGGCGGACGGGUGAGUAAUGUCUGGGAAACUGCCCGAUGGAGGGGGAUAACUACUGGAAACGGUAGCUAAUACCGCAUAACGUCGCAAGACCAAAGAGGGGGACCUUAGGGCCUCUUGCCAUCGGAUGUGCCCAGAUGGGAUUAGCUAGUAGGUGGGGUAACGGCUCACCUGGGCGACGAUCCCUAGCUGGUCUGAGAGGAUGACCAGCCACACUGGAACUGAGACACGGUCCAGACUCCUACGGGAGGCAGCAGUGGGGAAUAUUGCACAAUGGGCGCAAGCCUGAUGCAGCCAUGCCGCGUGUAUGAAGAAGGCCUUCGGGUUGUAAAGUACUUUCAGCGGGGAGGAAGGGAGUAAAGUUAAUACCUUUGCUCAUUGACGUUACCCGCAGAAGAAGCACCGGCUAACUCCGUG